Molecule: ribosomal RNA, 494 nt
Filed under: uncultured bacterium
Lineage: Bacteria
Description: partial 16S ribosomal RNA
Rfam family: Bacterial small subunit ribosomal RNA
Source: RNAcentral
GACGAACGCUGGCGGCGUGCUUAACACAUGCAAGUCGAACGGUGAAGCGCCUUCCUUUUUGGUGGGUGUGGAUGAGUGGCGAACGGGUGAGUAACACGUGAGUAACCUGCCCCCUUCUUCUGGAUAACCGCAUGAAAGUGUGGCUAAUACGGGAUAUUCUGGGUCUGUCGCAUGAUGGGUCUGGGAAAGAUAUUGUUUCGGUGGGGGAUGGGCUCGCGGCCUAUCAGCUUGUUGGUGGGGGGGUGGCCUACCAAGGCGGUGACGGGUAGCCGGCCUGAGAGGGUGGACGGUCACACUGGGACUGAGACACGGCCCAGACUCCUACGGGAGGCAGCAGUGGGGAAUAUUGCACAAUGGGCGCAAGCCUGAUGCAGCGACGCCGCGUGAGGGAUGGAGGCCUUCGGGUUGUGAACCUCUUUCGCCAGUGAAGCAGGCCUGCCUCGUUUGUGGGUGGGUUGACGGUAGCUGGAUAAGAAGCGCCGGCUAACUACGUG